Molecule: ribosomal RNA, 253 nt
Filed under: uncultured bacterium
Lineage: Bacteria
Description: partial 16S ribosomal RNA
Rfam family: Bacterial small subunit ribosomal RNA
Source: RNAcentral
UACGGGGGGGGUAAGCGUUGUUCGGAAUUACUGGGCGUAAAGGGCUCGUAGGCGGCCAACUAAGUCAGACGUGAAAUCCCUCAGCUUAACUGGGGAACUGCGUCUGAUACUGGAUGGCUUGGAUUUGGGAGAGGGAUGCGGAAUUCCAGGUGUAGCGGUGAAAUGCGUAGAUAUCGGAAGGAACACCAGUGGCGAAAGCACUCUGCUGGGCCGACACUGACACUGAGAGACGAAAGCUAGGGGAGCGAAUGGG